GAUCCUGGCUCAGAACGAACGCUGGCGGCAUAAGGAUUAGGCAUGCAAGUCGAACGGAUGCAGCAAUGCAUUAGUGGCGAAAGGGUGAGGAACGCGUGAGUAACCUGCCCCCAAGUUGGGAAUAACAGUUGGAAACGACUGCUAAUACCUGAUGCGAUUGUUUUUCGGCAUCGAGAAACAAUUAAAGAUUUAUCGCUUGGGGAUGGGCUCGCGUCCCAUUAGGUAGUUGGUGAGGUAACGGCUCACCAAGCCGACGAUGGGUAGCUGGUCUGAGAGGAUGGUCAGCCACACUGGGACUGAGACACUGCCCAGACUCCUACGGGAGGCUGCAGUCGAGAAUCUUCCGCAAUGCGCGAAAGCGUGACGGAAGCAAUGCCGCGUGCCGGAUGAAGGUCUUCGGAUCGUAAACGGCUGUCAGAUGGGACGAAUAAAGUGACGGUACCAUCAAAGGAAGCCACGGCUAACUACGUGCCAGCAGCGGC
Molecule: ribosomal RNA, 482 nt
Filed under: uncultured bacterium
Lineage: Bacteria
Description: bacterial SSU rRNA
Rfam family: Bacterial small subunit ribosomal RNA
Source: RNAcentral